This 520-nucleotide ribosomal RNA is filed under the name uncultured Glomus. RNAcentral's name for it is "SSU rRNA". It matches the Rfam family "Eukaryotic small subunit ribosomal RNA", at positions 569 to 1090 of the family's 1831-position model. The record is from RNAcentral. Lineage: Eukaryota; Fungi; Glomeromycota; Glomeromycetes; Glomerales; Glomeraceae.
AGCAGCCGCGGUAAUUCCAGCUCCAAUAGCGUAUAUUAAAGUUGUUGCAGUUAAAAAGCUCGUAGUUGAAUUUCGGGGUUAGUAGGUUGGUCGUGCCUUUGGUAUGUACUGGCCUCACUGAUUCCUCCCUCUUGAAGAACUGUAAUGUUAUUAAUUUGGUGUUGCGGGGAAUCAGGACUGUUACUUUGAAAAAAUUAGAGUGUUUAAAGCAGGCUUACGCUUGAAUACAUUAGCAUGGAAUAAUGAAAUAGGACGUUUGAUCCUAUUUUGUUGGUUUCUAGGAUUGACGUAAUGAUUAAUAGGGAUAGUUGGGGGCAUUAGUAUUCAAUUGUCAGAGGUGAAAUUCUUGGAUUUAUUGAAGACUAACUACUGCGAAAGCAUUUGCCAAGGAUGUUUUCAUUAAUCAAGAACGAAAGUUAGGGGAUCGAAGACGAUCAGAUACCGUCGUAGUCUUAACCAUAAACUAUGCCGACUAGGGAUCGGAUGAUGUUAAUUUUUUAAUGACUCAUUCGGCGCCUUA